This 254-nucleotide ribosomal RNA is filed under the name uncultured bacterium. RNAcentral describes it as "partial 16S ribosomal RNA". It matches the Rfam family "Bacterial small subunit ribosomal RNA", at positions 524 to 776 of the family's 1533-position model. The record is from RNAcentral.
UACGUAGGGGGCGAGCGUUGUCCGGAAUCAUUGGGCGUAAAGCGCGUGUAGGCGGCUCGAUAAGUCGGGUGUGAAACCUCCAGGCUCAACCUGGAGACGCCACCCGAUACUGUCGUGACUAGAGUCCAGUAGGGGAGCGUGGAAUUCCUGGUGUAGCGGUGAAAUGCGCAGAUAUCAGGAGGAACACCAGCGGCGAAGGCGGCGCUCUGGGCUGGAACUGACGCUGAGGAGCGAAAGCGUGGGGAGCGAACAGG